RNAcentral lists this transfer RNA (74 nucleotides) under Homo sapiens (human). Its description in RNAcentral is "tRNA-Trp-CCA-7-1". Lineage: Eukaryota; Metazoa; Chordata; Mammalia; Primates; Hominidae. The record is from RNAcentral.
GGAAGGAUGGGGCCAAGCUGGAAAGCCUGUGGGCUCCACAGUCAUGUGCCUGGGUUCAAUUCCCAGUUCUGCAU